This 253-nucleotide ribosomal RNA is filed under the name uncultured bacterium. RNAcentral describes it as "partial 16S ribosomal RNA". It matches the Rfam family "Bacterial small subunit ribosomal RNA", at positions 524 to 776 of the family's 1533-position model. The record is from RNAcentral.
UACGGAGGGCGCGAGCGGUGUUCGGAAUCACUGGGCGUAAAGCGCGUGUAGGCGGCCGAGCAAGUCGGAUGUGAAAUCCCGAGGCUCAACCUCGGAACUGCAUUCGAAACUGCUCGGCUCGAGUCCCGGAGAGGAUGGCGGAAUUCCCGGUGUAGGGGUGAAAUCCGUAGAUAUCGGGAGGAACUCCAGUGGCGAAGGCGGCCAUCUGGACGGUGACUGACGCUGAGAGGCGAAAGCGUGGGGAGCAAACAGG